Molecule: non-coding RNA, 72 nt
Organism: Seminavis robusta
Lineage: Eukaryota; Bacillariophyta; Bacillariophyceae; Naviculales; Naviculaceae
Source: the annotation of a GenBank genome assembly
ACCCACAUGUUCUAAUGGUUAGGAUAUCUGGUUCUCAGCCAGAAGGUCAAGGUUCAAUUCCUUGUGUGGGUA